This 408-nucleotide long non-coding RNA is filed under the name Equus caballus (horse). Its description in RNAcentral is "lncRNA (ENSECAG00000052759.1)". The record is from RNAcentral. Lineage: Eukaryota; Metazoa; Chordata; Mammalia; Perissodactyla; Equidae.
GUUCUCUCCAUGUCUAUCUGCUGACAAAGCACACUUUCACCCAAAAUGGCUGCUAAGUUUUCUUGUUAAAGUUAAAAUGCCUGUCCCUGAGACUUCAUUUGGACGCUUAGACACAAAGGCCACUCAAAGAAGGCCACCAAAGGAGGGAGGUGUGCGAGGCCUCCUGGGCCAUGUGGGCCUGUCGCCGGGCUCUUCGAGGUGCAACAGAGCCUAUGAGUUUUGGAGAUAUAUGAAAGCCAUCAUGAUAAAUGUCUUCCAAACACUUGUCAUUGAGGACAGAUGCUAAAAACCACUGCAUGUAACAAGCGUAUGCGUGGCUGAAGAUAAACCUUCAAGGUCUUAACUGUGCUCUUAAAAAUUCGUAAUUGCCUCAAGUGUGGCAUGCAACAUUUUGGAAGGAAAAAUGAA